UACAGAGGGUGCAAGCGUUAAUCGGAAUUACUGGGCGUAAAGCGUGCGUAGACGGUAGCGUAAGUCGGGUGUGAAAGCCCCGGGCUCAACCUGGGAAUUGCAUUCGAGACUGCUCUGCUAGGGUGCGGAAGAGGGAAGCGGAAUUUCCGGUGUAGCGGUGAAAUGCGUAGAUAUCGGAAGGAACACCAGUGGCGAAAGCGGCUUCCUGGUCCAGCACCGACGUUCAGGCACGAAAGCGUAGGGAGCAAACAGG
RNAcentral lists this ribosomal RNA (253 nucleotides) under uncultured bacterium. RNAcentral describes it as "partial 16S ribosomal RNA". It matches the Rfam family "Bacterial small subunit ribosomal RNA", at positions 524 to 776 of the family's 1533-position model. The record is from RNAcentral.